Molecule: ribosomal RNA, 1503 nt
Filed under: uncultured Spirochaetota bacterium
Lineage: Bacteria; Pseudomonadati; Spirochaetota
Description: bacterial SSU rRNA
Rfam family: Bacterial small subunit ribosomal RNA
Source: RNAcentral
AGAGUUUGAUCCUGGCUCAGAACGAACGCUGGCGGCACGUUUUAAGCAUGCAAGUCGAACGGUAGAGACACUUCGGUGUCUUGAGAGUGGCGGACGGGUGAGUAACACGUAGGUGAUCUGCCCUGAGGUUGGGGAUAGCCCAUGGAAACAUGGGGUAAUACCGAAUGAGAGUUCAUGUCGAAGUGAACUGAAAGGAGCUAUGGCUCCGCCUUGAGGAUGAGCCUGCGGCUGAUUAGGUAGUUGGUGGGGUAAAGGCCUACCAAGCCGACGAUCAGUAGCCGGCCUGAGAGGGUGAACGGCCACACUGGGACUGAGACACGGCCCAGACUCCUACGGGAGGCAGCAGCUAAGAAUCUUCCGCAAUGGGCGCAAGCCUGACGGAGCGAUGCCGCGUGAACGAUGAAGGCCGGAAGGUUGUAAAGUUCUUUUCUUGGGGAGGAAUAACCAUCGGAGGGAAUGCCGGUGGGAUGACGUGAACCGAGGAAUAAGCCCCGGCUAAUUCCGUGCCAGCAGCCGCGGUAACACGGAAGGGGCAAGCGUUGUUCGGAAUUAUUGGGCGUAAAGGGCGUGUAGGCGGACAAUCAAGUCCGGUGUGAAAGACCUCGGCUUAACCGAGGGGACGCGCUGGAAACUGGUAGUCUUGAGUACUGGAGGGGAAGCUGGAAUUCCUGGUGUAGGGGUGAAAUCUGUAGAUAUCAGGAAGAACACCGGUGGCGAAGGCGAGCUUCUGGCCAGUAACUGACGCUGAGGCGCGAAAGCGUGGGGAGCGAACAGGAUUAGAUACCCUGGUAGUCCACGCCGUAAACGAUGUGCACUAGGUGUCGGGGGGAUCCCCCUCGGUACCGUAAGCUAACGCGUUAAGUGCACCGCCUGGGGAGUAUGCUCGCAAGGGUGAAACUCAAAGGAAUUGACGGGGGCCCGCACAAGCGGUGGAGCAUGUGGUUUAAUUCGAUGAUACGCGAGGAACCUUACCAGGGCUUGACAUAUACCGGACAGCCGUAGAGAUACGGUCUCCCUUCGGGGUCGGUAUACAGGUGCUGCAUGGCUGUCGUCAGCUCGUGCUGUGAAGUGUUGGGUUAAGUCCCGCAACGAGCGCAACCCUUUCCGUAUGUUACCAACAGGUUAUGCUGGGGACUCAUGCGGUACAGCCGGUGACAAACCGGAGGAAGGUGGGGACGACGUCAAGUCAUCAUGGCCCUUAUGUCCUGGGCUACACACGUGCUACAAUGGCCGGUACAGAGUGAUGCGAAGCAGCGAUGCGGAGCAAAACGCUAGAAAACCGGUCUCAGUACGGAUUGGAGUCUGAAACUCGACUUCAUGAAGGUGGAAUCGCUAGUAAUCGCGCAUCAGCAUGGCGCGGUGAAUACGUUCCCGGGCCUUGUACACACCGCCCGUCACACCACCCGAGUUGGGGGUACCCGAAGUCGCUCGUCCAACCUGCAAAGGAGGACGGUGCCGAAGGUACGCUUGGUAAGGGGGGUGAAGUCGUAACAAGGUAGCCGU